AGAUCCUCACCAGAAUUUGGAGUUCGACUAAUUUUAGUGUCAAUUGAACGAGGAUAAGAUCAAUUCAGUUGAACGUGCAUCUGUUAUUUAGUUGAACAAGAAAGUUAGCAGAUGAUGUAAUUCUACCCCCAAGGAUAUUGGAUAGAAGACUUCAAGAGAAUUGGGUUAGAGCUAUUAAAGAAAAUCCUGGGGUUCUCAUGAACCUCAGGAUAGAUUUCUGAGUUCAUGGGUUAAG
RNAcentral lists this long non-coding RNA (235 nucleotides) under Glycine max (soybean). RNAcentral's name for it is "long non-coding RNA (GMAX_LNC001236)". Lineage: Eukaryota; Viridiplantae; Streptophyta; Magnoliopsida; Fabales; Fabaceae. The record is from RNAcentral.